Molecule: unclassified non-coding RNA, 1929 nt
Filed under: Hevea brasiliensis (rubber tree)
Lineage: Eukaryota; Viridiplantae; Streptophyta; Magnoliopsida; Malpighiales; Euphorbiaceae
Source: RNAcentral
GGAUGAGCAAUAUAUUAGUCGAACAUAAGGUUUUAAGAUCACAUCAGUAUGCGACUAAGGAGGGAGGGAAGCAUUCCUAAAACAAAAAGGAAUUGUAAAUUAAUAUAAUCAGAACACAGCACAACCACCAAUGAUUAAAUGCAGCAUUCUAGAUUAAUUAAUUAAUCCUUGCUUUGAAAAUAAAAACACCCAUUUUACAACUACAAGUAAAGUAAAUCUUUUAUCUUUAGAAUGCAAUGUCAUCAAUUCAUUUUUAAGUCCCCUUAGUACUCUGUUUCGCACCUGUAUUUGAUAUAUUCAUACCAACACAAAGUAAACAAAUCUCAAAAAGGCCAAUUUGCUUCAGAGAUGAUUACCUGUGAUUUGGACUGUCAACCCAAGAGUUAGAUGUCUUCUUCGCAACAGUUUAACUUCAUUCGAGGCAAAAUAAUGUGCUUCUGCUUCACUUGUAAUACAUACUUCAUCAGGUUGAAGAAUAGGUUACAAUCCAACAUUUAGUCAUUGUUUGAACCCAGAUAAAUAGAGAAUAUAACUUCAAUGGACUGGAUGGUUCAAACAACUUUUAAACUCAGAUGCGUUCAAUUAUUAUCACAGUGGAGAUCCCCUCUUCAAUUGCUAGUCAAAUUUGUAUAGGUAGCCAAAAUUGGCAUCCUUGUUUAAAGUUCCAUUAAACAAUACACAGGAGUUAAAUGGAAGUAUGAUCACAAUAAGAAAACAAUCUCUACUUCUCCUCAAUGUAAGAUUUGACAGUACCUAUCCACUUAAUGUACUCGGUUCUAUCUUUGUUCUUCAUGUAUUCAUGCAAGAAAGCUGCCAAUUCAUCAUUUAUACCCCUUGCAUCCAAGAAUUCAUAUAGUGAAUCUUGCAGUUCAUAAUCCAAUUCCCUGUAAACAAUUAACAAUCAGAAAGGUAGGGGAAACUAACACAAAAAGAUAAGUAGAACAAGAACAAGAAGAGAGAGGGAGAGAGGGACAGAUGCAUGUUAUGAAAAAGAAAAUCAUAUGCUUCCAUUUGGAUGCUCCUAUAAUAGAACAAAAACUUUUAUCCAACAUGAUCUACUCUGGUUAGGGAAAAGAAGGUUUUCAUUCUAUAGCUUUGUUGAAACGAAAAAGUUAUUGACUAGUAUCAAGUCAGUCAUGUUGCAUCCAUCUAGUAUCUGUUUCCAUUGGUUUCAUGCAGAUAACAUCACAAUUUUCUUUCUUUCUCUUACAGUUUCUCAGCAAAUGAAAUGGUAUAUCAAAAUAAAUCAGCAAAUUAUCAUACUUGAAGUCAGGACCAACAUAAGCUUGAGCCGGCAUCUUGUCACUUGUGCCUAUGAAAAACUUUGUAAUUUCAAUCGUAUCUGGCCAAGCUGAGCACAUGAUCUCUAAGGAAUCACCAUUACCCUUGGAGAUAUUAACAAUCAAAGUAAUGUGAAGCUGCACAUUGUCCUUGGUGCUAUCACCAGAUUUUGCAAUUGGAACAGCUCCAUCAAACAUGGUUGCUUCUACCUUAAUCUCCUCAUUCCUAGCAAAUUUCCUUUUUAAUAUAACCCAUUGCUCCCCUGGCCGUUCAUCAAUUGUGAAGGAAUCAAACUUGGUAACAGGCUGCCUAGAAGGGGCAUGUUCCAACUCAUAUUGCAUUUCGUUACGAAGAAGCCUGAGGAUUUUAUCUCGAAAGGCUGUUUUGCGCAUUUCUGAUGUGUAAUUUCUGAUUAUAGUCGUUUGGUUCAAUCCCAAUUUGUCAUGGAGUAAAACGGGAUUUUGGUGGAAUUGUUGAAGUUGGGGAAUUAGGGUUUUAGAAUGGGAGAGAAGGGUUAUUCUUAGAGGACGGAUUAGGCGUGCCAUUUUUUACAGGCAAAGGGGAACAAAGGAAGCGUUUCUUCCUGUUGUAUGAGAAGGGUUCAGGGGAUUUCAUUAGGGUUUUAGGAAGACGCGUUGUGGCCUGUGG